This 1427-nucleotide long non-coding RNA is filed under the name Homo sapiens (human). RNAcentral describes it as "novel transcript". The record is from RNAcentral. Lineage: Eukaryota; Metazoa; Chordata; Mammalia; Primates; Hominidae.
AGAGGAGGAGCUACUGAUUUCCAGCUGCAAGGUUGAAAUAAAACCAGCAAAAGUGCAAGCCAAGGGUUCAGUUUCCCAAUAGCUGCAGCUGUCUAGCACCCGGAGCUAUUUUUAAACUCCUUUUCAGAACUUCCAGUGCUUGCGAUGGAUCUAUUUUCUUAACUGCCAAGAGAUAAUGCUUAAAAGGGAUAGCUUGAAAAUAUUCCACGGCGCUCAUACAAAUGACUGAAAUAGAUAGUGUACAAGACGGCCUUUGUCUGGAGCAGCAGAGGAAAGCAAGAUGAAGUCUUUCAGACCCCAGGACCAUGGUGCUGCUGGAUCUGCUGCUGACAACCGUGGCUUUGUGUCUUGAAUGUGCACUGUGACCAGAAAAGGCAAGAAAACCAAACAGUAAUUGUAAAGAACAUCAGAGACCUGGCAUUUAAAUUGGUCAUUGAUUCCAGGAAACAGGAGACCCCAAAAUAGCUCCCAAAGAAUCCCCCUUGACUUGAAGAGUGCUGCCUUAUCUGCAACGUGGAUGGAGCUGGAGGCCAUUAUCCUAAGGAAACUAACACAACAACAGAAAACCAAAUACUGGAUAAGUGAGGGCUAAACAUUGAGUAUGCAUGGACACAAAGAAGGAAGUUAUUUGAAGAUGUGCUCCAGCAAAAUAAGAGGUAACCCGGGAUCCAUGAAAAAGUGUUUUCAACCCAAGAGUGUGACAAAGAGAAUUUCCAGGAUGACAGCCCUGGUUCAGGUCUGGAGAUCAACUGCCGUAUACGUACUUGAGAACAAGUAUGAAAGUGUCCCUGAGGGAGGUAUCCAGGGAACAAAUAAAGGGGAGAGCAUGGCAAAGUAUUUCUGAUAUGAUAACUGCCCAGGGAAGAAGAAGAAAAUAAGAAGAUGGCUUACUGCUGGAGCAUUUAAACACUUCAAAGAACACUAUUUAUGUAGCCAACAAUAGUGCUUUAACAAUAUUAAGAGGAUGAUGUGGAGAGGUGCAGAUGAUGGUGUAAGAAUUAAAUCUCAUAGGAAGGAAAAGUUUAAAAAUCACUAGGUAAUAUAUGAAAUUGUAAAUUAAAAAUCAGCAGCAUGUCUUUAUUCUGUUACUUUUAAUCGCAAUGAUAGUAAUAAUAAUAAAGUUGAAAAAUUAAAAAAUAUUUUUAAAAGUUCAUUUUAAACUAUGUAUCACUUUAAAUAUACAGUUCUAUUGUCCUCUGGCUUGCAUUGUUUUUAAAAGAAGUUUGGAAAAUUCUUAUACUUAUUCCUCUGUGUGUAAUAUAUUUUUUAUUGUGCUGCUUUUUAAUUUUUCUCUUUAUCAUUAAUUUUUAGUAAUUUAAUUAUGAUAGCUUUUGAGUAGUUUUCUUUAAGUUAAUCCUGCUUUGAUUUUGUUUAAGUUCUUAAAUUUUGGGGUUUAAGUUUUCAUUAAAUUUAGAACUUUUAAAAUG